AAAUUCUCAACCUUUUCAGCUUUUGUUGAAUAGGCUUGGAUUUUGGGAGUUGUUGCAGGCUGCUCAGAAGUCUGCUCUCCUUAAAUGUAUUAGCGGGGCCCUUGUUGUCUAGCAUUUGGUGUGAUAAUUAUCUACGCCAUUGUGAACAAUGURAUAGGGAGUUCRGCUUCUAAUCGUCUCGUAAAGAGACAAUCUCUGAC
Molecule: ribosomal RNA, 200 nt
Filed under: Tricholoma magnivelare
Lineage: Eukaryota; Fungi; Basidiomycota; Agaricomycetes; Agaricales; Tricholomataceae
Description: partial 28S ribosomal RNA
Source: RNAcentral